GAGUGGCGAACGGGUGAGUAACACGUGGGUGACCUACCUUCGAAUGGGGGAUAACGUCCCGAAAGGGACGCUAAUACCGCAUAACAUCCUGUCCUUGAACGGAUGGAGAUCAAAGCCGGGGAUCGCAAGACCUGGCGUUUGAAGAGGGGCCCGCGUCCGAUUAGCUAGUUGGUGAGGUAAUGGCUCACCAAGGCGACGAUCGGUAACCGGCCUGAGAGGGCGGACGGUCACACUGGGACUGAGACACGGCCCAGACUCCUACGGGAGGCAGCAGUGGGGAAUUGUUCACAAUGGGCGCAAGCCUGAUGACGCAACGCCGCGUGGAGGAUGAAGGUCUUCGGAUUGUAAACUCCUGUUGCCCGGGACGAAAAGCUUCGACCUAACACGUCGAAGUCUGACGGUACCGGGUGAGGAAGCCCCGGCUAACUCUGUGCCAGCAGCCGCGGUAAUACAGAGGGGGCAAGCGUUGUUCGGAAUUACUGGGCGUAAAGGGCGCGUAGGUGGCCUUCUAAGUCGAACGUGAAAUCCCUGGGCUCAACCCAGGAACUGCGUCCGAGACUGGGAGGCUUGAAUCCGGGAGAGGGAUGCGGAAUUCCAGGUGUAGCGGUGAAAUGCGUAGAUAUCUGGAGGAACACCGGUGGCGAAGGCGGCAUCCUGGACCGGUAU
Molecule: ribosomal RNA, 666 nt
Filed under: uncultured bacterium
Lineage: Bacteria
Description: bacterial SSU rRNA
Rfam family: Bacterial small subunit ribosomal RNA
Source: RNAcentral